RNAcentral lists this ribosomal RNA (2200 nucleotides) under Staphylococcus aureus. RNAcentral describes it as "partial 23S ribosomal RNA". It matches the Rfam family "Bacterial large subunit ribosomal RNA", at positions 724 to 2925 of the family's 2925-position model. The record is from RNAcentral. Lineage: Bacteria; Bacillati; Bacillota; Bacilli; Caryophanales; Staphylococcaceae.
GGUGAUCUACCCUUGGUCAGGUUGAAGUUCAGGUAACACUGAAUGGAGGACCGAACCGACUUACGUUGAAAAGUGAGCGGAUGAACUGAGGGUAGCGGAGAAAUUCCAAUCGAACCUGGAGAUAGCUGGUUCUCUCCGAAAUAGCUUUAGGGCUAGCCUCAAGUGAUGAUUAUUGGAGGUAGAGCACUGUUUGGACGAGGGGCCCCUCUCGGGUUACCGAAUUCAGACAAACUCCGAAUGCCAAUUAAUUUAACUUGGGAGUCAGAACAUGGGUGAUAAGGUCCGUGUUCGAAAGGGAAACAGCCCAGACCACCAGCUAAGGUCCCAAAAUAUAUGUUAAGUGGAAAAGGAUGUGGCGUUGCCCAGACAACUAGGAUGUUGGCUUAGAAGCAGCCAUCAUUUAAAGAGUGCGUAAUAGCUCACUAGUCGAGUGACACUGCGCCGAAAAUGUACCGGGGCUAAACAUAUUACCGAAGCUGUGGAUUGUCCUUUGGACAAUGGUAGGAGAGCGUUCUAAGGGCGUUGAAGCAUGAUCGUAAGGACAUGUGGAGCGCUUAGAAGUGAGAAUGCCGGUGUGAGUAGCGAAAGACGGGUGAGAAUCCCGUCCACCGAUUGACUAAGGUUUCCAGAGGAAGGCUCGUCCGCUCUGGGUUAGUCGGGUCCUAAGCUGAGGCCGACAGGCGUAGGCGAUGGAUAACAGGUUGAUAUUCCUGUACCACCUAUAAUCGUUUUAAUCGAUGGGGGGACGCAGUAGGAUAGGCGAAGCGUGCGAUUGGAUUGCACGUCUAAGCAGUAAGGCUGAGUAUUAGGCAAAUCCGGUACUCGUUAAGGCUGAGCUGUGAUGGGGAGAAGACAUUGUGUCUUCGAGUCGUUGAUUUCACACUGCCGAGAAAAGCCUCUAGAUAGAAAAUAGGUGCCCGUACCGCAAACCGACACAGGUAGUCAAGAUGAGAAUUCUAAGGUGAGCGAGCGAACUCUCGUUAAGGAACUCGGCAAAAUGACCCCGUAACUUCGGGAGAAGGGGUGCUCUUUAGGGUUAACGCCCAGAAGAGCCGCAGUGAAUAGGCCCAAGCGACUGUUUAUCAAAAACACAGGUCUCUGCUAAACCGUAAGGUGAUGUAUAGGGGCUGACGCCUGCCCGGUGCUGGAAGGUUAAGAGGAGUGGUUAGCUUCUGCGAAGCUACGAAUCGAAGCCCCAGUAAACGGCGGCCGUAACUAUAACGGUCCUAAGGUAGCGAAAUUCCUUGUCGGGUAAGUUCCGACCCGCACGAAAGGCGUAACGAUUUGGGCACUGUCUCAACGAGAGACUCGGUGAAAUCAUAGUACCUGUGAAGAUGCAGGUUACCCGCGACAGGACGGAAAGACCCCGUGGAGCUUUACUGUAGCCUGAUAUUGAAAUUCGGCACAGCUUGUACAGGAUAGGUAGGAGCCUUUGAAACGUGAGCGCUAGCUUACGUGGAGGCGCUGGUGGGAUACUACCCUAGCUGUGUUGGCUUUCUAACCCGCACCACUUAUCGUGGUGGGAGACAGUGUCAGGCGGGCAGUUUGACUGGGGCGGUCGCCUCCUAAAAGGUAACGGAGGCGCUCAAAGGUUCCCUCAGAAUGGUUGGAAAUCAUUCAUAGAGUGUAAAGGCAUAAGGGAGCUUGACUGCGAGACCUACAAGUCGAGCAGGGUCGAAAGACGGACUUAGUGAUCCGGUGGUUCCGCAUGGAAGGGCCAUCGCUCAACGGAUAAAAGCUACCCCGGGGAUAACAGGCUUAUCUCCCCCAAGAGUUCACAUCGACGGGGAGGUUUGGCACCUCGAUGUCGGCUCAUCGCAUCCUGGGGCUGUAGUCGGUCCCAAGGGUUGGGCUGUUCGCCCAUUAAAGCGGUACGCGAGCUGGGUUCAGAACGUCGUGAGACAGUUCGGUCCCUAUCCGUCGUGGGCGUAGGAAAUUUGAGAGGAGCUGUCCUUAGUACGAGAGGACCGGGAUGGACAUACCUCUGGUGUACCAGUUGUCGUGCCAACGGCAUAGCUGGGUAGCUAUGUGUGGACGGGAUAAGUGCUGAAAGCAUCUAAGCAUGAAGCCCCCCUCAAGAUGAGAUUUCCCAACUUCGGUUAUAAGAUCCCUCAAAGAUGAUGAGGUUAAUAGGUUCGAGGUGGAAGCAUGGUGACAUGUGGAGCUGACGAAUACUAAUCGAUCGAAGACUUAAUCAAAA